Long non-coding RNA from Lepisosteus oculatus (spotted gar), 3459 nucleotides. RefSeq lists it as uncharacterized. Lineage: Eukaryota; Metazoa; Chordata; Actinopteri; Semionotiformes; Lepisosteidae. The record is from RefSeq and is a predicted model, not a curated record.
GCGUGUCACUGUGUUGAUUGAAAUAUCCUUUUCGUUGCAGUUGCCAAACUGAUUUUCUUUAGACAAUAGUACAAAUAACUUACUCUGGAUUAUUUUCUAACAAAGGCAUGUUAGAGAGACAUGUACAUUAGUCAUAGCACGCUUGUUUUUAAAGAGUUUGAAGGGUUAUACUCUGCCAGGGUACACCCCUACUCUUUUCGAGAAACUACCUGGGAUUUUUAAUGACCGCAGAGAGUCAGGACGUCGGUUUUUUUUACGUCUCAUCCGAUGCCUUUUUGCAGUAGUUUCCCCAUCACUAUGCUUGGCAUUGUGUCCCUAAUUGUGAAGAGUGUUUGUAUCCGGUUGAAUCGAUUUGGUGGAGCAAUACUGUUCUGAUGUGAUUUCAAGGUAGGUUUCCAGUAGCUCUGAUGCUUUUCUGUUUCCUUGUUUCUAGUUCUCAUCAUGGGUGCAUAAUCAAAGCUGCAUGAGCCAAAUAACAUUGAAUGCCAGCAAAGGCCAUAUUAUCAAAUACAGGCUCUGUUUACUCUUCAUAAGAUGUAAAAUCCCGUACUUGAGAGAUAAACAAAGGCUCUGUUCUUUUGCCCCUGAAUAAAGUGAGCAUGCAAGAGCUUCUGAAAUUAAAACCAGAUACCAUGAUAAACAGAAGCCACAGUGUUACAUCAUAGCUUCCUUUCUGCUGUUGCAAGUCACCUGGGCUGUAAUGAUUGAGGUCAUGUUUUUCAGAAUUUCUCAAAAACACAGUUCCUUUUUUAAACCUGAAAUUCCACUGACACAACAAUAUUGCCUUCCUCUCUUUAAUUGUUGUCAAAACACAGUUGCACAUUAGAGAUUCACUGCUAUCACAACAAUAGGACUUGGUUUUACUAUGACAAACACAGGUGACAUUAGCAGCAAGAAAAAGACAGUAUAAAUACAAGAUAUAACAUGCCUUCCAGUAGUUUCAAGACAGAACACCAGGCCACUUUUGAGAGGAAAAGAUCAAGGAAAUCAUGAAUGUUGCACAUUCCAUGUCAGAUUUGACAGGUUAACCUGUCAAGGACAGACAAAACUUUAUAAAAAUAGCAUAUAAUUAAAGGUGUUUAUUUUAUCUACACUUUGAAUAACAACUUGUGGUAAGCCUCGUGUUGCCCAGUGUAAAAUGAGAAGUUCAAGUGAAGUCAUUCAUGGUUUAUUCUGGGAUGAUCUAUAAUUGUGAAUUUUAUGUACUCUCGUGACUCCUGUAACAGUCAACUGGACACAUAAAAGAUCACAGUUUGAAAAUUAACACCCUGACAUCUGGAAAAAAAAAUGUAAUAACAACAUUCAAUUUUUUCUUUUAUUCCAUCCAUCAUUUAAAUACUACAAUACAGGGUAGAGGAGGAGCCAGACCAUAUCCCAGCAAGCUUUCUUCUUUUCUUUCUAAUAUUUAAUAUAUUAAUUGUCAUGUACACAUGCAAACACUUUGCCUGCAGAUCUUAGUGGCGAUCUUUGUGAAUUCAUAAACCGGUUCGGUUGAAAUGGUUCAGAUAAUCAUCAGGUUCUCCCUUCUUCACUCUGAUCUACUUGUGCGAUGGCAUUCCAAAGCAGUGGAUCAGAUAGAAAAAAAAACAGAGAAAGCAACAAAGUGAUGAACUCUUAUCAAACAGCCCUUCGCCCAUCCUUCCAUCCUUUCAUUUUCAAGAUGGGACACACCAUCGCAGGACAAACACAGACAGGAACACACACUCACACCCGGGUCAGUUUUCCCAGAAGUCCGUUAACCUGUCAGUAUGUCUUCAUACUCCGGGUGGAAACAGGAGCACCUGGAGGAAACCCAGAUCAACGCGAGGAGAACACACAAUCUUCAUACAGCAACCCAGUGGCUCUGUGCUGCAAGGCAGAAUGCUAACCAAUGCGCCUUCAUGCUCCCCUUUAUAAUUAAGCAAGUGAAUUAAUUUAUCUCAGAACGUAAGCAAUGCAAGAUAUCUGAUUGACAGUGAGACUAAGAUAAAUGAGGUCCAAAGAGAAGCUGGAAGCUGUUAAAAGUUCUUAAAAAACAGAAUACACCAUCAGUCAGUGGCACACCCAGGAAUAAUGGAAUAAUCUCAGCACCAACUGAGCAUAUACCAGCAAACAGCUUGCAUGUCACAGCUUGCAUUCUCAAACGCAAUGCACAAACUGGACCUGGGAGUGAGGAGUGCUCCCCAGUAGAUGUAAUCAUCUAUUAUAAUUCACAGUAAACAAAUGUUUAUCGAUAGGUUUAUCCUUAUUUUGUGAUGCGAAAGAUGAUCAUCUACAAUGUUAUUUUUUUAAACAUUUGGAGUUUAUUAGUGUCAUUAGGCAGAAAACAAACACAAAUCUAAAAAGCCCAUCUUACAAUACCUUGUGGGUUCAAAUCCCAUAUGGGACACGGUGAAAUUCACAAAUAUUCUCUCCGAAACCUGUCUAUAGUGUUUAUAAGCAAAAUUGAAGAAUAAGAAUAUAAGAGUUUAAAAAGUCAUCAAAAGCAUUAACAAAAAUUGCAAUUUGUUUUCCAACAAAGAUACUUUCAUACACUAUUCUAAUAACUAAAUUAACAUUUUGAGAAAUUUGCAACUGCAGCUUUUGGUUUGAUACCUCUAGAUUUUAACCUUCUAUUACAGUGUAUAUAGCCAAGGAAACGUAUGUGUGUGUGCAUUCAUAUGUACAGUGUUAGAUAUAUAUACACAGGAGCUCAGAGUGCUUCUUCCACUGCAUAGUUGCUUUGCAGUGAAAAAAGGCAACUGCUGGAGGUGAAAAGCAUACAGUGAGAGGUGCAGUGUAUUGAAGAGCUCGUUUUAAGCUGUUCCUUUCAGUCCAGUUUGGUCCAAAGGAGGAAGCCCUAAGGCGUCAGCUCUUUGACAUUCUACUGGUGCAGCAGGAAUGGCUCGGGAACCAACCAACAAGGGCAUUAAGCUUGCAUGAAGUGGUAGCAGAUGAGUGUGUAUGCGAAAAAGGCCUAUACUAAAAAUUACAAGGGUGCGUAUUCUCCAGACCUGGGCCUGACGUCUUCAAGGCUCUCACCAUGAAGAGGUUACAGAAAACCAUGAGCAUGAACAUAGGAGGGAUGGAGAAAGCUACGUACUCUAAGGCAUAUCUGUAGACGGUGAGGCACAUGAAGAGGCACAGGCCCAGACAGCCCACCGUCACCACAGCACAGCCCACCAGCCUGGCCCUGCUUUCUUUGAGCAGCAUAUAGUUGUAAGGUCCCGAGAUGUCGGAGGAGACCUCUAUUUGCAAGAGCAGGUUGCAGAGAAGAAGCUUCAGGUGGAGCCCAGCAGUAUUAGUGCAGUGAUCCAAGCUUUGAUUGCCAAUCACCCAGCUGUACUGCAAGACACUUGAACAACAUCUAUUUUAUUAUCUCGUUGUGACUAAUGCAAGCCUACUGAAAAAAAAACCACAAGAAAAAUUUUCCACUGUCAUGGACAUCACAGCAAUGUUUGUAUAACAAACUGGAAUAAAUAACACAGUCCCAACACUGAA